RNAcentral lists this ribosomal RNA (468 nucleotides) under uncultured bacterium. RNAcentral's name for it is "partial 16S ribosomal RNA". It matches the Rfam family "Bacterial small subunit ribosomal RNA", at positions 28 to 507 of the family's 1533-position model. The record is from RNAcentral.
GACGAACGCUGGCGGCGUGCUUAACACAUGCAAGUCGAACGGAAAGGCCCUGCUUUUGUGGGGUGCUCGAGUGGCGAACGGGUGAGUAACACGUGAGUAACCUGCCCUUGACUUUGGGAUAACUUCAGGAAACUGGGGCUAAUACCGGAUAGGAGCUCCUGCUGCAUGGUGGGGGUUGGAAAGUUUCGGCGGUUGGGGAUGGACUCGCGGCUUAUCAGCUUGUUGGUGGGGUAGUGGCUUACCAAGGCUUUGACGGGUAGCCGGCCUGAGAGGGUGACCGGCCACAUUGGGACGGGGAUAUGGCCCAGACUCCUACGGGAGGCAGCAGUGGGGAAUAUUGCACAAUGGGCGGAAGCCUGAUGCAGCAACGCCGCGUGCGGGAUGACGGCCUUCGGGUUGUAAACCGCUUUCGCCUGUGACGAAGCGUGAGUGACGGUAAUGGGUAAAGAAGCACCGGCUAACUACGUG